Long non-coding RNA from Carya illinoinensis, 588 nucleotides. RefSeq lists it as uncharacterized. The transcript has 2 exons. The record is from RefSeq and is a predicted model, not a curated record. Lineage: Eukaryota; Viridiplantae; Streptophyta; Magnoliopsida; Fagales; Juglandaceae.
AAAAAAAGAAAAAAAGGGGGGGACCAAUGCCAAAGGGCCAAAAUUACUUCGUAAAACCAAUAUGGCAGUAGAAAUAUUAACAACAGAGAAGAUGAAACCCAGAUGAGCAAUGCAGCGAUGAGUGGAUUUACUCCAGUAGACAACAUCCCUUGUCAGAUCUUGAUAACAUUUACCAUGGAGUGCAUGAGAAGCAAGCAGCCCAUGACAUCCUUGCUGUUGAGCAGGUUGACGGCAAGCUUGAGGUUUUGGGCGAUGAGGGAAGCAAAGAUCAGGAAGAUCGAUCCUGAGAUAAAAUAGAAGUGGUAUGGAUCUGGAUUCCUCAAGCAGCAAAGUUCUAGCACCUCCGACGAAAUUGCAGAUAUGGGUAUGAGAGAAAUGUCAUACACGGGUCAGGUCGGAAUAUCCGAAUCAUGCAUAAACAAAAUUCGGAACGGAAUUCAUUCGGAAGUUGGACUCUUCGGGUCGGGUUAGCAGUAUCGGGUCGAGUAGGGUCGGAUGAAAAAUCCUACUUUCUAUCUUCAAAUUCUAAGCCUGUUUUUUUUUUUUUUUUUUUGAAAGGAAUUCUAAGCCUGUUUGUUUAGUAGUACA